AUCAUGACCUAAGCUGAAGUCAGAUGCUUAACCAACUGAGACAUCCAGGUGCCCCAAUAAAUAUUUAAAGAAAAUUCAUUUGUAUGCACAGAUUUGGUAGGAAUAGCUUUAAACUGAGGUUUGCACACAAGAAUGAGUCAACCAGGCAGUAUCUUGGAAGGGAAUUCACCAAAAUGUGUUCAAAUUUGAUACAUAGCGCCUAUGAGUUAGUGAUUCCUAGUAUAGUCUUACAGUGUUAAAAAUAUACAUUAAAAAUUAAAAAAAAUUGGACCAAAUAUCUGUACCUAACACCUGUAACAUCUAGGCAGAAUUUUAGGGCUUCUAGAAACCCUUUUUAGAUGCUUUAACGUAAAUCCUAAAAUGAGGUUUGGAGAACCUUGGAGAAUUUGGAUUAUUGCCAUUUUACAUAUGGAGAAUAACAAACCAAACAAAAUGAGCUAGGCCUCAUUACAUUGUAACUUAAUGGCCGGACUGAAAAGCGGAGCUUAGGGUUUAUGUGGUGAAGUUAAGAAAUCUAAUGAGUUAAACUUCAGGUAAGUACCGUUUAGCUCUGAAUUUCCAGACUGGAGCUGUAUUAUUGAAUUUGGUGUAAAAAUUCAUUUCAUUCAAGUGGGAACUAUUAGUUGCUCAAAAAUCACAGUGGAAUAUAAUUUCCUAUUUGACUUUGCUCCAAAUCCAUGUCUGAUGGCUUGGCAAUGAUAAAAAAUUAAAGUGUAAAGAUAUGUGCAGGAAUAAUAAUUAGUCUGUGAGGACAGAACUAGUAACAGGUAGGAAUUGUAGGCUACUGUCUUAGGCUAUGAAGUCAUCCGUAAUCAUCUUGCUAACAGUUUUGGAGCCAUGAUGUUGUGCUGAAUGUCAAGUAUUAACCGACUCAGUUUGUAGGUUGUGAAGUCUCUGUAGGAAGCAAAGUGUUGUUUGCUUUUCCCCUGAAUUGUUGCUGAAGUACAUUCCCAAAAGAUUAUCAUUUUAAAUGAUCAUCAUUAAAAAAAGUCUUUUUCCUCUGAGAAUAAAAUUUGGAACAUUCUACUCUAGACUGAAGGUUUGGGUGGCUUCCUGUAUGUAAGCUCAUGGUCAUGGGCAAUUUUGAACUUUCCCCUCUCCUCAUCACGGGAAGUCGGGAGGAGCCCAGACAAGGUGCUCGUGGUGGAAAUGCAUGAGAAAGAUUGGAUAGUAGAAGAAAACAUAGGAGUAGGUAUUCACUAAAACCAUUUAAUGUGCUCAUUCAGAAGAUAAAUCUGAAGGAUGUGAAAAGAUCUAGAAAUGGAAGACAACGCCAAAAGUAGAACUGGGGCAAUAUACAUUCAGGUGCGCACGGAGCAUGGAAGGGUCUGUUUUUGUAUUUAUUGGUUUUUGAGUGUGUGGCUUACUUGUUGUGGAGAGCAGGUGUGAACAUAAGCUUUGUGUAUGUGCAAUACUCUUGUUUCCUCUUGCUGCAAAUCCCUGGCCUCGGGUAGGAUUAAAUUCAGUAAUGGUUAGUGGGUGUGACUCAACAAAGGAGCAGAUCUCAAGAAGCAGUUCAGUUAAAGAACUUUAUUCAGUAACUAAUAAUUGCAUGAGAAGAUAAGGCAUGUUUUCAGCUGACACAUACAAACAAUGGAAACAUUUUACACGAAAAACAGGCCAUCUCUGCUACACAUGUUUGCGCUCACUGGGAUAACAAUCCCAGGAGAAAUAAAGUAUUUUUCAGUUAGUUGGGUUGUUAUCAAGUUCCUACCACUGUACUCCUGAAAGUGCUUUUUUUUCCCCCCGUAUGAAUACUUGCAGACUUUGUAGAGUAGAUACAAUGAGCUGGACCACGUAUUCCCUGUAGGUAAAAUAAAUAAAAUAAAUAAAAUAAAAUAAAAUAAAAUAAAAUAAAAUAAAAUAAAAUAAAAUAAAAUAAAAUAAAAUAAAAUAAAUAAAAGUUUUACCCUGUAGGUAAAACUAGGACCCAAGUGCAUUGUGAAUGACCAAGCAUUCGUUUUAUUCCAAGGAGGGUGUUGGGUAAGUGCUUCUGGUUGUGGGCCAGAUGUUGUUUGACAACCCAAGGUAGUGGCCACAGAGACCGGCCGUGUCACCUCAGAAAGGGUGUGUUUGCCAACACCGUCACUCCUUCUGGGGGCCAUCUUUCUCAUCAUUUGCCACACGUCUCCCACAAAGUUGUUUUAGAUGACAGAUGCUUCUCGCACGGAAGCUUUGAGUUAACUACCUUUCUAGAGAUUCUUUUCCAGCUCAAGCUGGGAUUACUGGAGCCGUUCGGCAAAUGAGCAUGGACUGGACCAGCUGUUCCAUUUCUCACACGCUGAGACCCUUCAACUUGUUGGAUGCCUGGUACUAUUUGUCAGCACAGGUGCUGCAGGUGGAAAGCUAUUAAACUGUCAUUUAUGCUGCAUUUAUCUAGAGGCAUGCAAGUCUCCCGGAGCUGGAAAGGGUUAUGCUCUUAAGUGAGAGGAUUCAAAGGAAGUUUACAUCUUGGGGUGAGAAGCAGACGUGUAGGCAAAGACCCUGUUUGCUGAUAACGCCUCCUUGGUUUCUGGGCUCCUUCAGUGCUUUGUCCCCCCGCUGCCCCUCCAGAUGCCGCUGUGCUGGAUUCAUUAGCGGAUUAACCCUCCUUUUCAUUUUCAUGCGAGUAAUAAACACUGGUCUCAUUGGUGUGCUGCUGACUUUGCACUUGUUUUGAAUUUGCUAGCUGGCUGCAGUUUAUCCUUUAAGGCACAUCUGAAAUUAUCUUUUUUUUUUUUUGAUGCAGUGUGAAGAAAAGUGAUUAGAGAUGGUCUGAAAGACUAGACCACUACACGAAUGGAUGACUCCCCCCCCCCAAAAAAAAAAAAACAAAACAAAACAAACCAAAAACAACAUCUGGAAGAGAAGCAGAAAUGACCUCAUCCUUGCAUCUGAAUGUGUCUGGAUGCAAGUCCCAGUUGAAUGGAACCCGUUGGACUCCUGAUGUUAUGGUGGAGCACUGCUAUACCUCCUUAGUGAGAUGCCUGAAUAAGGUCGGAGUUUGUCAAAACCUCAAACACAGAAAUGGCGCCAUAACUUUCUGAACUGGAAUGUGGCUUUGAGAGAGUGAAUGUUCAGCAACUGGAGGCCAAGAAGAGUUCCAUUUUAAAGAGGAAAAACCCAUAGGUCAAUUACAUAUUGCCCACCUGGCCAGGUCUUUGCCUCUGAUGCUUGGCAUGUUUUUGGACUCAGUACCCCCUUUUGGCGUGUGCUUCAAGCAUGUGGGCAGGUGUUUGGGUACCACUCAUCAAGGGGGGUCUGCUGUUGGCUGCUGGCACUGACCAGCACCUCCUCGUGUAUCUUCCUGCCCUUCUUACCCUGCAUGAGAGAUCACAGCUCUAUUUUCUUCCUUCACUGCUAACUUCAGUCAUGGUUGGGGGUUGUAUCCUCUGUUGCCACCAUUAAUUUGGGAGCUUUGCAUCUUCUUUUGAAGCUGGUUGUUUCAAGAUUUGAGAAUGUAUAUACUUAAACCUUGCCAAAAGCUUACUUGGCACAAUGGUUCUUGCAAAUUCUUCUUCACGUUUGAAACCAAAAAAAAAAAAAAAAAAAAAAAAAAUUCUGAGUCAGUUCUGUCUUAUUUUGUUGUGAUUUUCUCUUACAUUUUGUGAAUUUCCUAUUAAUUCUCAAUUCAUUCAAGUAUCAAAUUUGGUAUGUCCUGUAUCCACUGUUCGUUUUACAUUCCUCAUUAUCCACUGAUAUUUAAAUUCCUGUAAGCAUGUUUUUUUUUUAAUUAAUUUUUUUGAAGUUUAUUUAUUUAUUUUGAGGGAGAGAGAGAGAGAGCACAUGCAUGAACAUGGCAGAGAGAGGGAGA
Long non-coding RNA from Felis catus (domestic cat), 3793 nucleotides. RefSeq lists it as uncharacterized. The record is from RefSeq and is a predicted model, not a curated record. The transcript has 3 exons. Lineage: Eukaryota; Metazoa; Chordata; Mammalia; Carnivora; Felidae.